CAGCCCCGAGAUUCAAAUUGUUCUUGAGGGGAAGAAGUUGGAAGUGGGAUAAUAACUCUCUGUAUGGAUGCAUUGCUGGUUUUAUUGAAAAAAUAUAAAUAGCAUUGCAGUAGUCUCCUUUUGCAAUGCUUCCCCCUCCCAUUCUUGAUUUCAUAUAAUUCAAGGGUGUGAAACAAUUUUUUUUGUCAGGUUAUUCUCAUGAUGACAUCUGUUGCAAAUUAGUAACCCAUAGCACAUACAUUUAAAAAAAUAAAGAACCAUCAGGAUUGAAAAAAAAAAAGAUAUAUAGAUACAGAUUUAGAUAUAGAUUUCGUUUUAUGUCUACUGCUUGCAUUUCCAGUUUUAU
RNAcentral lists this long non-coding RNA (346 nucleotides) under Marmota monax (woodchuck). Lineage: Eukaryota; Metazoa; Chordata; Mammalia; Rodentia; Sciuridae. The record is from RNAcentral.